ACGUCAAGUCCUCAUGGCCCUUACGUGUUGGGCUACACACGUGCUACAAUGGUAUCUACAACAGGAAGCAAGACUGCGAAGUUAAGCAAAUCCCUAAAAGAUACCUCAGUUCGGAUUGCACUCUGCAACUCGAGUGCAUGAAGCUGGAAUUACUAGUAAUCGUGGAUCAGCGUGCCACGGUGAAUGCGUUCCCGGGUCUU
RNAcentral lists this ribosomal RNA (200 nucleotides) under uncultured prokaryote. RNAcentral describes it as "partial 16S ribosomal RNA". It matches the Rfam family "Bacterial small subunit ribosomal RNA", at positions 1182 to 1382 of the family's 1533-position model. The record is from RNAcentral.